RNAcentral lists this unclassified non-coding RNA (798 nucleotides) under Hevea brasiliensis (rubber tree). Lineage: Eukaryota; Viridiplantae; Streptophyta; Magnoliopsida; Malpighiales; Euphorbiaceae. The record is from RNAcentral.
GUGUGUCAGAGUAUUUAGCAAUCUGCAUAAUACCAUAUCAGGUCUGUUACUUGACUCGAUAUGCAACCUAGGUCCGUAAUAGAAGAAAAGACUCACAUAAGGGAAAAAAAGCACUAGAAUCUCUCUUUUGGACUAGAGCUUACAGUCAACUCUAUCAAGAUGGAUUGUGGAACUAUAGAUAGUUUAAGAAGAUGACAAUAAUUAGCACAUAUUUUUUUCCUAAAGAUUGGGAAAUAACUCAGUAAUUGUGAACUUAAUUACAAAUGAAAGAUAUCCUGUUCUUAUGCCCAAGAAGUACUCUGUCCACUAAAAAAAACUUUCCAGAUGAUUGAGAAAAAAAAAAAUCAUAUAAUGAGCCUUGGCCAAAAGGAAGAACGAAUUGUCUUCUAACAUUCUUAUCAGGACUAACGCAACAGGAAUAACUACAUAGAACAUCGAAUGUUGUAGUAUGUGUCAUCUCUUGCCCUCAUUAGGAUAUCUAUUUGCUAUAAACAUGCAGGCAGAAGUAAACAAUCAAAGGACGAGAUCAAAAGCAGAAAUGCAUUUGAAACUGACUCCACAAAUUUCUCAUCUCCAUUGUAGAAUGCGCAUGUAUGCUAAAAGGAUAUUAGAAUUUUAAGAUCAAGUCAGAAGAAUUAAUUUAAUUUAGUGAUUUUCUAGAAAAAAAAAAUCUUAAAUCCAAUACUUUUCGAUGCUAAUUGAACAUAAUCACAACUUACAAAAGCCAUGCAAGGAAUUUCUCAAACUAAGUGUGAACAGUAAACAUAAACUCACCCUUGAGAGUACAAACUUGAGAUG